Ruditapes philippinarum (Manila clam) is the source of this 1152-nucleotide long non-coding RNA. RefSeq lists it as uncharacterized. The record is from RefSeq and is a predicted model, not a curated record. The transcript is spliced from 4 exons. Lineage: Eukaryota; Metazoa; Mollusca; Bivalvia; Venerida; Veneridae.
AGUUUUAAUCUGUUCAGACUAUGAGUUUUUAAUGUAAAGCAUGAAAUUGUGAAGUUUGGUGUCAUUCAUUGACCAACAACUGCUGAAAUAUGCAUCGAUGUACUGUUCAAGCUGGUGCAGAGGUGUCUGCUUGUAAUAAAGAGUAGAAUUUAAGAGAACUUAAUGCAGGAUGAGUAGAAAAAUGUUGCCUGCAAAUUGGAUUUAGAAGCAACUUGUCCUGUAGGACGAGUGACUCUUAAAAUAUUUUUAGAUUUCUGUGGUGUUUAGAUCUAUCAUCAUGAAGGAAUUAACAUACAUGUAAACUUUUUUGGAUGAUCAAGUCGAAGAUUUUUCUUCAAAAAGAGGGAGAUAUUAGAAUGUGCAAUAAACAAAGAAGAAAGUUCUGACAUCAAAAAGAGGGAGAUUUCUUUAAUUUGUAAAAAUGCACCUUAUUUUAAGAAAAAUCUUUGAAAAUAUGGCUGCAGAAAGUGGGAGUCUCCUGCUAAAAGUGGGAGUGUUCACAUGUAUGAAUUAAUAAAUCAAAUUACAUCACAGCAUGGAUUUAUUUGUUACGUGAAGUGUUCAUUUUGACAUGCACUGUUUGUACAUAUGUCAGUUGUUGUUUGUUUUCAUGACAUCUGUUAUCCUCUGUACAAGCUGGCAUUUAGAUCUAUCAUCAUGAAGGAAUUAAUGAAAGUGCUGAUGGAAAUAAGGAAUAGUUGGUUUUUCAACAAAAUGGCAUUCUCAGAUGAUAAGCUGAUAACAUUUUUUCAAUACAAAUACUGGACAACUUGUCACUUAUCAUUAUUUAUCAUCAUGAAAGCUGUGGGACAUGAGAAAAGAUUAAAUGUCAUGGUCAAAUUAUAGAUUGAUGCUCUUGCUAUUGAGCCACGUGGGAGGGUUGUAUUCUGACUGAAAUAUGGUCCUAUGUCAGCUUAGAUAAUUCCUGAUUAAAUUUUUGUGUGCAGCAGUAAUCUUCAAAACAACAAGUUUGAUACAAGAUAAAGAUGGUAGUCAGUAGAAGAUGUAUCAUGAACCAGUUGUGUUACCGUGUAUCAAGAAGCAAGGUUCACAUAUUGUUAUUACUUACAUCUGCAUGUCUUCUACUCCUGUAUAAAAGUUCAUUUGAUGCGACAAACACUGGUUCAAAAUAUAUCUUUUCAAUAUUUAAAG